GGAGGUGGCAAACGUUGCUCGGAGUCACUGGGCUUAAAGGGCGUGUAGGCGGCUUCUUAAGUCGGAUGUGAAAGACCUCGGCUCAACCGAGGAAUGGCAUCCGAUACUGAGGGGCUAGAGUGCGAGAGGGGCAAGUGGAACUCCAGGUGUAGCGGUGAAAUGCGUAGAUAUCUGGAGGAACGCCGGUGGCGAAAGCGACUUGCUGGCUCGCAACUGACGCUGAGGCGCGAAAGCCAGGGGGGAGCGAACGGGAUUAGAUACCCCGGUAGUCCUGGCCCUAAACGAUGAGCACUUGGCUGUGGUCUGAUCCACAUGGUCACAGCCGGAGCGAAAGUGAUAAGUGCUCCGCCUGGGGAGUACGGUCGCAAGGCUG
Molecule: ribosomal RNA, 373 nt
Filed under: uncultured organism
Description: partial 16S ribosomal RNA
Rfam family: Bacterial small subunit ribosomal RNA
Source: RNAcentral